Non-coding RNA from Oryza sativa Japonica Group (Japanese rice), 5471 nucleotides. The record is from RefSeq and is a predicted model, not a curated record. Lineage: Eukaryota; Viridiplantae; Streptophyta; Magnoliopsida; Poales; Poaceae.
UCUUGAAUAAGAUGUUACUCUUCCUGGUUCAGAGGUUGCAGUUUAUUGUGCUCAUAGAAAUCCUGAAAGUUUAGAGAGAACUCCCUGUUGAGAAAAUGGAAGUUUUUUUUACUACUGUGUUCUGUUGUCUGAAAUGAAAAUAAUGCAUGGAGAAUGCUUUUGUCCUCUGAAAAUGAAAAUGCUAGCUGCUGAAAUGUGACAUUCAGUCAGUCUCUGAACUCUGAAGAGCCAUGAUUGUGCAAUUUCAGGGGCCCAAAGCCAGCUCGUCUGCUCUGGGUGCUGUAAUCUGCUCAUGUAUCCAGCCGGAGCAACGUCGGUUUGCUGCACAGUUCGUAGUACCGUGACCGCUGUGCCUGCUCCCGAUAUGCACAUCAUUCACUCAGAGCAGAAAUCUAGCUGCAAUGUUCACAAAAAUGUAAAGAGAGAUUAAAGGGGAACACAACCAACUUCCGGGAUCCGCAACAGCACGCGCGUUGCGAUGAUUGUGCCUGCAGUCAGGCCGCUCGCGAAGUACACACUGGAGUUGUGUGUGUCUACGCCGCCGCCGGUGGCCGCUGCGGCCAUGAAGGAGUGUGUGCUUGAUGAGUACGCCACCAAGCACAGGAUCUCCAUCGAUAGGUUUCUCCAGCUUAGGAUAUUUGUCAAGGUGCAUGAUCGGGCUUAAAGUCACUGCAUACGUGAGGUGCUCGAGCAGUAGGAAUCUGCAUCUACCAUGGAUGAUGUUGCUACAUAAACAAAACAAUAUAAUUGCUGGUAUUAUUUUCAACUUUUGGUCCUUUUGACUCUAUUAAAUUCUUUAUCCAUUACUGUUUCUCGAUAGUUUGUUGUGAAUGUUGCCUGCACAUUCAAAUGAUAUGUGGGAUUAGUUUCCAGUCACUGAAGUGCAAACCUUAGCUAGAUCUCUUCUGAUGCAGAAAUCUCACUUUUUGUCUGGGUGAAUUCUACACAUUUCAGACCAGAAAAAUCUUGGUACAAGUCUUAAUACAAGCCAUUUAGUUAUCAGCAUAUAUAUUCACUGUGUGGUAGCUAUACUCUAAAAAAUAUUCAAAGAAAGUAGGGGUGCAGUGGUUAUGCCGCUGUUUAAUAAUCUGCUGAAGGAAAUAGCAACAUUGCAAAGAGGUGCAAACGGUGCUACUUGAUGCUGAAACCUGAGUACCAGUCAUUUUAAUUGUAGCUGUUUGCAGCAAAGUUUUCGCUAAAUGUAGUGCAUAAACUUAAUUUAUUUUUGCCGCUUGAAACUUAUAUAUACACAGGCAACUGUUUUUUUUUUUCAUUUCCAAAGGCUUCCAUCCGUAUUAACCUUGUUUUUUUAUUAAAGUAUUAAAUUUUUGGUUAGCAGUAUUUUGUUAUGUGUUUUAGAUUUAAUGCUUCUAGAAUAUUUCUCUAUAUGUAUUCAUGUUCUAUGAAAAUGCUAUCUUUUGGUGUUCCAUGCAAAGAGGUAUAUAUGUGAACUGAAUGUUGCGGUUAUUUAAAUAUUCACAAUUUGCACACUCAUGAUCUAUUUCAGAAACUUAAAACCAAGUACCCAAUAGUUUUGACAAAUGAACACUAUUUUGUUUGCACAGAAUAAAAAAUGUGAUGAUGCUGUUGGGUUGUUAUUAAAUUGACUAAUUGUUUUAGCCCUUGGUCCCAUCCAAAAAAACUGGCUUUGCAAGCCAACACAUUCAGUGGUUAACGAGUAGCAUAUUUUUAUAUAUAAUGAUAUUACUAAAUGUUUGAGAGUUUUACUUUCAUAUAUGUGCCUUACUUAUUUAUAUAUUUCAGGAGUCUUCUUAAGGAUUAGAUUAUUGUCGUUGAAAAACCAUCCACUAUAGCUGCUACCUCUACUCACUUUGGCACACCAUCUAAAAAUGCAGAGAAGCAGGUUAAUUUAUAGUGGGUGAGCUUAAUCCACUGUAGAAAGCAGAAUAUGAAUGCAACAGGCUGCCUGCUAUGAUUGAUGCUCAUUUAUUCAGAGAUUAUCAUUUAGCAUUCUGGUACUUGAUGAGAAGUUAUAGGUUUGGUCUCUUCUGUGCAUGGGGUCAACCCCAGGAUGGUGAUCUGCAUCUAUGGCUUCCCCACCAAUGUCGCUGCCAUCUAGGUACGAAUCAAUUCAGUCCAAUCAUCUCCUCUAGCAUCUGUUCUUGAUAUAGGAAAAAAAAGUAUUUUUUUGGUAGAUCAUGUUAUGUGAUAGUCGUCCAUGACCUGUUCUACUUCCUUCCUCAGCAUUUACUGUUGUAGGUUUCCACAUUCACUAGGUUUCCAUACUCUUAACACGCAAGAAGUAGAGCCCAAGGUUUCUUAUAUAUUUUGCCUGUUCUACAAGAGGAUUGAGAUGUUUAGUGUAAUCCUUUGUGACUCAUGGACAAAACCAUGUAGGUCCUUGUUGAUAUAUAUGGUGAUCCAGAACUCCUUGUUGCAUAUGGUAUUGUUUUUUCUUUUCCUUUGUGCACACUUAGUUUGUGAGGCAGUUGAUUUUGACCUUCCUUUCCAUAGAAAAAAUAUUUCCUUUUAUGUUGUUUUAAAUUCCAUGUGCUAACUCAGAUUUAUUGUGAUUAGUUGUUGUUGUGCUAAUCUUCAAAUGUUUAGUAUAUUUUGUGCAUUUUGAUGCUCUAUUGCUCUGCAAACCAUGGCUUUUGAAUGCACUAUUUUGGUUGGACAGGUAAAUGUGUUGUAGGACUAUUUUAGCUAGGAUUCAUAAACUUUGCACUACACAUCGCUGCUGGUUUUUGUCCUAAAUAGGGACAGUUAUUUAGGACAUAAUUUGAAGAUUGAAUUUUUCUGCUAUUUGAAUCACAAUUGAGUUGCUGGUGAUAAAUGUUAUCCAAGGCUUGAGUGCUCGACACUAUUUAUUAUUUCAUUCUUUUUCUGAUAUUCCUCUAGCAAUUUGCAUUAAAAAGUUUCUGAUAUUUCUCAAAAUGUACAUAAAAUAAUCUUUAGUCAAAUCAUGAAUUCGUUGACGUGUGAUUGGUUAUAUUGUACGAAACAAUGCUCUCUAGCAGUCAUGCAAGGUGUUCAAUACAUGUGUCUUGGAUAUUGAAACUAGAUUCCAUGGUUUACAUCUCAAUUUUUUUGCCGCACCACAUGAGUUAACCUCUUUGCAGCUUGCUGCAUAUAAUUUACUUGCCACGAUUAAUUACCCAUACAGCUUACCACGAACUAGGGGAAUAACCUCAUUAUGGAAAAUCAAGACAACUUUCUUAAUGUUGUAUCUUGAUGUGCAUUCUUUUGAAUCUAGGCUUAUUUUUAUGCAGUUAAAUUUAUGAUUUAUACUCCUCCAAGUUCCAUCAGCCCGCUUUGUAUAAUAUUAUGCUUUAGAUGGGAUUAGAGGCCUUUCAAAGGCAGAAAGAGAAAUUAUGCUCCUCCAGUUGGCCUAGGCUUCAACUCUGGGUUUUUAUUUCUAUUGCUGGUCAUUCAUACACAAGAUUUCAUGAGCCCACAGUUCACCUUUUGGUCCUACCUCAUUUAUCAGCAUAGGCGAUAGUAGUUGAUGAUUAUAUACCAUUUCCCAGACUAUUCCGAAAGAGCCUAAUGUUGGGGAUAUUUCAAGGAUGCUAAUUGUUGUAAUGGGUGCAAGCCAUGUUAUUAAUGGGUCAUGAGGAAUUAGUCUCUGACCAAAGUAUCUAAAAAAUGCUAAGAAAGACCAAUUUGUGGUGCUACUUGAUCCCAAGAAACAAGGUGUACAGGAAGGGAAUGUGAAAUCGGUUUCUCACUUUUUAUGGUAGUCAGUAUCUAAAUCUUACAGUAGAAACCACCUUGACCGUGCUGAAAUGGCAUGAGUUAUUGAGGCUGCUGGUAGAACACUUGAAACUUUGCCUCAUUUUUGCUGCUUGAUCUUCAUUUCAGCCAAUUGCUUGUUAGCUAUUUAGCUUCAUGUUGCGAUUCAUGUUUUGAGCAGCAUUUGUAAAAUCAUUUAUUUAAGAAAGUGGCCAUGGACAAGCUCUUUUAGAUAUUGCUACCUUACUAUCUUUGGGAGAGAAAAAUGUUGAAUGAACAUUACUAGCCAUGAUUUGGCAAGAGGCCUUCAGAUUACGUGACUAUUUUGUAUUGAUUUGUACUUGUGCUAUUUUGCUUUUCAAGCCAAUUACUUCUAGAAAUGGAUCACUGAGCCUGUACACAUGACACAAUAAGAGCUAAGCUUUUAGCAUUCUCUGAACCCUGACUGCGACAUAGGGUGGCUAAUGAAAUAUGAUCAUUAGUAAAUAUGCUGAGUGCAAUAAACUCUUUUCCAUGUAGGCAAAAAUUUUCUUGUUUGUAAAAAUUGUCAUGUGCCUAGAGCUGAGCUCUCUUCCGUGGCCAAGAUGUUUCUAUAGUUUAGUAAGUGGUAUUUCUUGGUAGACGUUUGGCUAAUGGAACUCAUGUUCUCAGAUAUUCCAAGAUCUUCAGAAGGGAAUAGAUCUUGGUGUAGUCUCUCCUUAGAUGCUACAGAUGUUUUUUUUACCUUGAGAAAUGCCCUGUUAGGGCAUGUUUAAUGGUAGAGACGAGUAUGGUCUCUUAAGCAAUACAAGAUUAUUUAGAGACCGUAUCUUUACAAUAGUAGAGACGACAAAGUCUCUAAUCAUUAACUCAAAAAAUAUUCCUUUUGUUAAUAUUCUUUCCAUUUUUUUACCCUCAUGCAACCAUAUUUCCAUUUUAUAUUGAUUAAGAGUCGUUGUUAAGCUGUUGUUAUGCAUGACAACGAUAUUUUGUCUCUCCUCUUUCUCUUUCUUCCAUGUCAACAAGUAUUCCAAAUUAACAUCACUAAGAGACCACUAUUGACAACCAUUGUACAUGCCCUUAGUGCUUCACAGUUUCCAGGUAAGAAAAUAUUCUUUUUUUUCCCUUCUUAGUGCUUAUCAAUUCUUAGUCUUAUGAAUAAUUCUGUUUUAAACAUAGUUAUCCUAUAAUUUUGAGGCAGAAUAUACAUACACUUCAUUUCAAUAAACCAAAUUUCUUAGCGGUUGUGCAAAAGAUUGCUGGGCAGACCCCAAAUUCUCUUCUUUUUAUUAUAUAUGGCUCUCUUGUUCUUCUACAUUGAUAAACACACUUUUCAGACAAGUUCUUUUGCUCAUGGUUUUGCAUACUGCAGAUAUCCAUAGAAGCAAUUGAAGAUUUACAAGUAAAACAUGCUUUCCAUAAUAACGCAAAAUGUUCCUAUUAUUCUGGUGUGGGUGUCUGAUGAAAGGCUUUCCUUGGAAGUGCAACUGUAGGAUGGUGUUCUUCUUGGGAUGAAAUAUCAAAACAUAUUUUUGAUUUGCUUUAGCUAUGAUACUUCAGCAAGACUCCUGGCUGCCUUAUCUUUUUAUAUAAUUGUCUUGAGCAGUUGUCCCUCAGGUUUUUGCAUAGCUUGUAGGAACAAGAGUAGAGCCAUGGAGGCAUAAUAGCUUGAAGUAAUUAUGGUUAAUGUGCUUACUUAAAAAAGGUGUUUAAUGUUAACAUUGAAUUCUGAAAACUUGAAGCAGAUUUUUCUAAGUGUACCUGGAUGUUUCUUAAGACAUCGGUUUCUUUUGCUA